Molecule: ribosomal RNA, 978 nt
Filed under: uncultured bacterium
Lineage: Bacteria
Description: bacterial SSU rRNA
Rfam family: Bacterial small subunit ribosomal RNA
Source: RNAcentral
GAGUUUGAUCAUGGCUCAGAUUGAACGCUGGCGGCAUGCUUUACACAUGCAAGUCGAACGGCAGCACGGGUGCUUGCACUUGGUGGCGAGUGGCGAACGGGUGAGUAAUACAUCGGAACGUGUCCAGGAGAGGGGGAUAACGCAUCGAAAGAUGUGCUAAUACCGCAUAUACUCUGAGGAGGAAAGCAGGGGAUCGAAAGACCUUGCGCUUUUGGAGCGGCCGAUGUCUGAUUAGCUAGUUGGUGGGGUAAAGGCCUACCAAGGCGACGAUCAGUAGUUGGUCUGAGAGGACGACCAGCCACACUGGGACUGAGACACGGCCCAGACUCCUACGGGAGGCAGCAGUGGGGAAUUUUGGACAAUGGGCGAAAGCCUGAUCCAGCAAUGCCGCGUGAGUGAAGAAGGCCUUCGGGUUGUAAAGCUCUUUCAGUCGAGAAGAAAAGACUACGGUAAAUAAUCGUGGUUUAUGACGGUAUCGACAGAAGAAGCACCGGCUAACUACGUGCCAGCAGCCGCGGUAAUACGUAGGGUGCGAGCGUUAAUCGGAAUUACUGGGCGUAAAGGGUGCGCAGGCGGCUUUGUAAGUCAGAUGUGAAAUCCCCGGGCUUAACCUGGGAAUUGCGUUUGAAACUACAAGGCUAGAGUGUGGCAGAGGGAGGUGGAAUUCCAUGUGUAGCAGUGAAAUGCGUAGAGAUAUGGAAGAACAUCGAUGGCGAAGGCAGCCUCCUGGGUUAACACUGACGCUCAUGCACGAAAGCGUGGGGAGCAAACAGGAUUAGAUACCCUGGUAGUCCACGCCCUAAACGAUGUCAACUAGUUGUUGGGCCUUAUUAGGCUUGGUAACGAAGCUAACGCGUGAAGUUGACCGCCUGGGGAGUACGGUCGCAAGAUUAAAACUCAAAGGAAUUGACGGGGACCCGCACAAGCGGUGGAUUAUGUGGAUUAAUUCGAUGCAACGCGAAAAACCUUACCUACCCU